RNAcentral lists this small nuclear RNA (107 nucleotides) under Salvator merianae (Argentine black and white tegu). Lineage: Eukaryota; Metazoa; Chordata; Lepidosauria; Squamata; Teiidae. The record is from RNAcentral.
GUGCUCACUUUGGUAGCACAUAUACUAAAACUGGAGUGACACAGAGGAGAUUAGCAUGGCCCCUGUGCAAGGAUGACACGCAAAUUCCUGAAGCAUUCCAUAUAUAU